Long non-coding RNA from Eptesicus fuscus (big brown bat), 198 nucleotides. RefSeq lists it as uncharacterized. The transcript has 3 exons. Lineage: Eukaryota; Metazoa; Chordata; Mammalia; Chiroptera; Vespertilionidae. The record is from RefSeq and is a predicted model, not a curated record.
CGCUGUUCUUACACAGCCAAGAAAAGUGCUACUGCUGUAUUACGCUCUUGCUUGCAAAGCUCCCCCAUCCCAAAGUAACAGCUUCAUACCACAGUCAAGCACAACCACGGUGGAAAGGUUCCUCCAGGAAGACAGGUAAUACGGACAAGGAUCGUGCCCAUAUUGUUCACCAAUGGACCCUCGGUGCCUGGCACGUGG